AUGGAUUUACCUAUCAGAGCCAGAAGUUGCUCGCUCUGCCCGCCCAAGAAGGUCCGGCUUUCCCUUCUGUCCCACCUUCUUUGUGACGUCAUAGAACCAUCGCCUUGCUUAGCCCGACCCCGCCUCUUUUAUUUAAAUACGGCGCUCAACAUGGCGGUGCCUACUUGGUCCGUCGGCCGCUGUGUUUUCGAGCGCAGGCCAUGGAAAAGACUGUUUCUUCAAGAGCCGCGCUGUUUGGCUAACUACAGCUGCGUUUUAAUCCCUGAACCCCUUUCAGCGCGAAGUGCGUGUCGGUUAUCGCCUGAAAACCAGCUGACCUUUAACGACCCUCACCACCUCUGCUCCGGAAGUGCUUGCUGGUCCCAGACUCGUUUGGUGCUCCUUUUCGCCCUGCUCCAACAACAUUCGUUUCAUGAUCCUGUGAAUCCUGAGAGGUCAACACAUUGCCCUUCCCAUUCUGAAGAUGGCUGAAGGCACUGUGGAGAGACUCACCAGGUCACUUUCCGCAGAUUGCAUUGUUGAUGGGCAGCAGAACCAGGAGGACUCACUUCUGUGCUGCCUUCCAAGCACCAAGGUGAAAAAAUAGAAGCCAUGAUUCUCAUGAAGACAGUGCUGUGAGGUUAAGGGAGAACUGGUGCUCGCCAGCUGUCAGGGUCUUAAGCCUGUGUACUUCUUUUCACAAGCUCCCCAGUUUUUAGCUCGGGAGAGUCAAGCUGGAGGUCUCUUCCCUUGAUCCAACAAGGCGCCAACUUUCGAAACCACAGCGUUGGUGCAGCCUCUCUGCCCGUGGUCUUCACAUCAGCCUGUGGGGUGGUAUCAGAACCGUUCAUUGCAUUACCUGUGGGUGGACAGAGGGAAUGGAGGAUGCAGCUGGACCAACUGUGGGUUAGUGAUGGUGGAAGGCACAUCGCACCCUCUAGCAUCACUGAGAAAUGGGUGCAGCAGUGAGGGAUACUUGGCAGAGUGUUGGGAGCCUGGCCGAGUGAUAUGAGGCCUGUGGUGAGGAGUGAAGCCUGAGCUAGAUUGCCCCUCCCGUCGACCGAGUGAUAUGAGGCCUGUGGUGAGGAGUGAAGCCUGAGCUAGAUUACCCCUCCCAUCGAGUAUGCCAAGAUGGCGCCCAUUUCCUGCUCCCUAGCUAGUAAACAACACGCCCUGUAAGCUAGUCUGCCCAGCAACAGAUGACGCUGGCCAAUCAGCUCGUCUUGCCUACUUUGAUGUGAUUGGUCGAUGUGUCCAUAUAUAUGCUGACACCACCCCUGGGGGGAACACACACACCAAGAAGAGGGACUGCUGAGAGAAGCACACAAGGAGCCGUAGGGAACGGACCAGAGGAGGCUUCCCUCAGGCGGGAUCCGAGAUCCCGGAACAGGGCGUACGGAGAGAGAAAAUAAACCAGAGGCUAUCCGCCGACUACUCGUGUCGUGUGUUUUUUCCUGCCGGCCGGGAACGACACCGACAUUUGGUGGCCCGUACGGGGAACUGAUCACCCCCGAGACGAGGCGGACGACGCUCCAGUAUUGCUCUGCAGGACAGGUGAGUAGGGGAUAAACCUGGGCUCUGGGUGGCGCGCACCUACAGGGCUUUUUAGACUCCCCUCAAGCUCACGUGUAUGUGGCAGGUUAGCCUCACACGGUGAGAACGGACUCCUCAGUGACAGGCAUGGGCAACUUACCCACUAAGAGUUCCAAGUCACUGGUAAGAGCGGUGAAAGACCUGCUCAAGAUUUCAGGUAUAU
This is a long non-coding RNA of Cavia porcellus (domestic guinea pig), 1735 nucleotides long. The record is from Ensembl. NCBI's taxonomy places the organism in Eukaryota, Metazoa, Chordata, Mammalia, Rodentia, Caviidae.